This is an RNA transcript of Ricinus communis (castor bean), 2176 nucleotides long. It is a transcript of the gene named ribulose bisphosphate carboxylase/oxygenase activase, chloroplastic, with no coding region annotated. NCBI's taxonomy places the organism in Eukaryota, Viridiplantae, Streptophyta, Magnoliopsida, Malpighiales, Euphorbiaceae. The record is from RefSeq and is a predicted model, not a curated record. The transcript is spliced from 13 exons.
CAAAAACAAAGGGGGUCUAUCCUAACCGUGAGUUGGUUAUAGUACAGAGCAGACCACAGACUUCACUGAGUGGCGCCAAAUACUCAUCAAUGGCACUAUUCACAAUCCCUUCAUCAUCUCUAUUCAAACCUCAAGCUCUCUUCCCUAAUAAAUUUCCUUCAAUUCCCUCACAACAAAAGAUCUUCACUAUUUCUUGCUCAAAUUCAUCCUCAAAUGACGGCAACAACCACACCUUUAGCGACGAACAACAGAAGACAGCAAAAAGACAAUUAUCAGAACAAUCAUCUUGGGAAACUAAAGACUCCGAAGGAAAUGAUUAUCUUUACAGAUUAGGAAAAGAAGCUGACAACAUGAACAUUGCCGUCGGAGCUAGACCUGGCGUCAUCGAUCCUCUUUUCGCCGGAAAUUUUCUCGGCAGAGACUCGGAUAUUGUGUUUGAUUAUCGACAGAAAGUGACAAGAUCAUUUGAGUAUCUUAAAGGAGAUUACUAUAUCGCUCCAGUUUUCUUGGAUAAAGUUGUAUGCCAUAUUGUGAAGAACUACAUAGCUCAUCUUCUCAAUGUCAAAGUUCCUCUGAUCCUAGGUAUUUGGGGUGGAAAGGGGCAAGGAAAAUCAUUUCAGACUGAACUUGUUUUUCAAGCCAUGGGAAUUGAACCUGUAAUUAUGUCUGCAGGAGAAUUAGAAUCAGAAAGAGCUGGAGAACCAGGAAAACUGAUUCGUGAACGCUAUAGAACAGCUUCUCAAGUGGUCCAGAACCAAGGCAAGAUGAGCUGUUUGAUGAUCAAUGACAUUGAUGCCGGCCUUGGUAGAUUUGGGAACACACAGAUGACAGUGAACAAUCAAAUCGUUGUUGGUACACUAAUGAAUUUGGUGGAUAAUCCUACAAGAGUCAGUACUGGACAAGACUGGCGAGAAUCAGAUAUCACAAACAGAAUUCCUAUCAUUGUGACAGGAAAUGACUUUUCAACAAUCUAUGCCCCCUUGAUUCGUGAUGGAAGAAUGGAAAAAUUUUUCUGGCAGCCUAAUCAGGAAGAUAUUGUGAACAUUGUUCACAGAAUGUAUGAGAAGGACGGGAUAUCUAGAGAUGAGGUUGUAAGCAUUGUAAAGACAUUUCCUAAUCAAGAGUUAUAUCAAGUAAACAGGGGACAAAAGACACUUUUGACUAUUAUGCUUGACUUCAGACAGAAUGAUACAGAUUGAAAGUAUUAUAGGACACUGCUUAUAGUUAUGCUUUGCAUAUUUUAUGUAAAGGCAACAUAGUAGUGUCAUUUCCGUUCAUCGAUGAAGAAUUACAUAAACUGAAAUGACCGUAACACUUACCAAAAUCAACUGUGUGUAUCUCAUUGCCCUAUGCAUACUAGCUGAACUUUCUUCUGAUAUUAAGCUGUUACAAAGAACCUUGAGAACCCAUCCUAGGUGGUAUAGUCAUCUAUCAUUGCUGCAAAAGUUCCCUCCUCUUCCAGCAUUUGUUUUGUCGGGUGAGUAGGAGGGAAGAGACAGUGGAGGGUUUGAAACCAAUGGUACCCAUGCCAUGCAAUGCUGGUGUAGUAUUAACUGGCUCCAAGCCUUAAGAUUGCUCUACCUGGCUUUAACUUCUUGCAAUCAAUCAAACCCGAGCACUGAAUCAGGAAGACCAAGUGUGCUGCAAAACUUCUUAGCUUCACAAGGUCAUAGUUGAUUGUAAAGGGAUGAUAAGAUGCCAAGCUUGGAAGGAAGAACUCUUCAAUAAUAGGCUUUAUGGUGGCGGUGUCAGAAGUGUGAAACCUUUUUUUUUGUCUUUUUCUGGUCAAGGCCAAAGAGCAAUUUUUUAAGACCAAAACUUUCCAGAAUUGCAGAGCAUAAGCUCCGAUCAAGGAGGAAAAUUAGAACUUCAUAAAGGAGAUUUCAGCCAUUUAUAGAGCUUUGGAUUUCUAUGGAGCUCUUCGAUCCCGAACAUAUGACAUGUCGAUUUCUAAGUGGAUUGAUGACAUUGGAGGUGUGGAAAAUCUUGGUAACAAACUCCUCAAACGAAGAAAGAACGAGACACUUCCUGUGUAUACUCCCCCAGAGCAAACGGUGGAGGCUUUAUUUGAAUCAGGCUAUUCUCUCAUCAGAGAACAGCAGCUGAUAAUGGAAACUAAACUUUCAAAGGAAUACAUGAAGAACAUUGAUGACUAGGAAAGAGUUCGGCAUUGCAG